Molecule: long non-coding RNA, 816 nt
Filed under: Neodiprion pinetum (white pine sawfly)
Lineage: Eukaryota; Metazoa; Arthropoda; Insecta; Hymenoptera; Diprionidae
Description: uncharacterized LOC124221053
Source: RNAcentral
AAUUUUUGUGAUUUCGAGAUUUGUGACAUAAGAAUCAACGUACAAAAUGAAUCCUACUGUAGCCGGAUUCUCCAACUCUUUACCGAGUACUAUCGAUAACGUUAAGUGGCGACGUUUGUCGCUUGCAUUAUCGAUGGUUGAGACAGACAGUGAUUCUGUAACUACGCGUCAUCGAACAAAAUCGUUGCAAGAUGUGCUGUUUGUGAAACGACAAAAGUCGACAACUUUUAUUAAAAUGUGACAACGUCGCAUAUCAUUACUAUGAAUUUUAUAGGGACUUUGGUGAUUUUAGGUAAUAUAAUGUAAAGUGUCAGUCGCAUCUGUGUAAAUUUAUAUAAGCGCGGAUAGCUUGCCCAUUGUGUCAACAAUAGUGAAACUCCUUAUUCCUUUACUUAAACUACCGUACUUAAUUCUUUGAACCUACCUUGUUACCUAUAUCUUGUUUCAAACUAUGGCAUCAAAAAGAAUUAGAAGCGGACGGGCGACGGAUGCGCAAUUAGCGGCAAUGGUGCAGUUUAUCGAAACACACAAAGGGAUUGCGGAAGGGAAAUUCCUAAUUAUGAAUGGAAAGGAAGAACUCCGUAAAAAAUGGGAUCAACUGGCAAAUACUUUAAAUAUGACCAAAGGUGCAACCAAAACCACAUCUCAAUGGCAAGUAACUUGGAGAGAUAUGAAAAGUCGAACAUCACAGAAAGCACGUAAAAUUAGAAAUCAGCGUAAUGCAACAGGCAAUAAAGAAAUUGACGAAGUUCCAUUGACACCAUUAGAGCUAAGAGUCAUUGGAAUCAUUUGCAAAAACUACGUUGAAGGUAGCUC